This 475-nucleotide ribosomal RNA is filed under the name uncultured bacterium. RNAcentral's name for it is "bacterial SSU rRNA". It matches the Rfam family "Bacterial small subunit ribosomal RNA", at positions 29 to 507 of the family's 1533-position model. The record is from RNAcentral.
AAUGAACGUUGGCGGCGUGGAUUAGGCAUGCAAGUCGAGCGAGAAACCAAUUAGCUUGCUAUGAGGUGGACAGCGGCGAAAGGGAGAGUAACGCGUGGUUACGUGCCCUCGGGACCGGGAUAGUGUCGGGAAACUGGCAGUAAUACCGGAUGACAUCUUCGGAUCAAAUGGUGAGAUUCCGCCCGAGGAUCGGACCGCGUACUAUUAGCUUGUUGGCGGGGUAAUGGCCCACCAAGGCUGCGAUGGUUACCGGGUGUGAGAGCAUGGCCCGGCUCACUGGGACUGAGACACUGCCCAGACAUCUACGGAUGGCUGCAGUCGAGAAUCUUCGGCAAUGGACGAAAGUCUGACCGAGCGACGCCGCGUGCGGGAUGAAGGCCCUCGGGUUGUAAACCGCUGUCAGUUAGGAGGAAAUGCAUGGGGGUUCUCCCCUGUGUUUGACCGAUUUUCAGAGGAAGGACGGGCUAAGUUCGUG